AUAUCAAUAAGCGGAGGAAAAGAAACUAACAAGGAUUCCCCUAGUAACGGCGAGUGAAGCGGGAAGAGCUCAAAUUUGGAAUCUCACUGGUCUCCAGUGCGAGUUGUAGUUUAUAGAAGUGUUUUCGGUGGACGCCUGGGUAUAAGUCCUUUGGAACAGGGCAUCAUAGAGGGUGAGAAUCCCGUCCAUGACCCAGAGUUGUUCACUAUGUGAUACACUUUCGAAGAGUCAGGUUGUUUGGGAAUGCAGCCUAAAAUGGGUGGUAAAUACCAUCUAAAGCUAAAUAUUGGCGAGAGACCGAUAGCGCACAAGUA
Molecule: ribosomal RNA, 314 nt
Filed under: uncultured Chytridiomycota
Lineage: Eukaryota; Fungi; Chytridiomycota
Description: partial large subunit ribosomal RNA
Rfam family: Eukaryotic large subunit ribosomal RNA
Source: RNAcentral